RNAcentral lists this small nuclear RNA (310 nucleotides) under Jaculus jaculus (lesser Egyptian jerboa). RNAcentral describes it as "7SK RNA (ENSJJAG00000007114.1)". It matches the Rfam family "7SK RNA". From Rfam's summary of the family: 7SK was discovered as an abundant small nuclear RNA in the mid-70s but a possible function has only recently been suggested. The record is from RNAcentral. Lineage: Eukaryota; Metazoa; Chordata; Mammalia; Rodentia; Dipodidae.
GUAUGUGAGGGUGAUCUGGCUGUGACAUCUGUCACCCCAUUGAUCGCCAGGGUUGACUCGGCUGAUCUGGCUGGCUAGGCGGGUGUUCCCUUCCUCCCUCACCACUCCAUGUGCGUCCCUCCCCGAAGCUGCACGCUCCGUCGAAGAGGAUGACCUUCCCCGAAUAGAGGAGGACCGGUCUUUGGUCAAGGGUCUACGAGUAGCUGCGCUUCUCUGCUAGAACCUCCAAACAAGCUCUAAAGAAGGAGAAAUAAAUGAAGUUGAAGGUAUUUUUACAAAGUAUUUCUAUUUUCAAGCAGGAUAUAUCACU